CCUAAGAUUGCACUCAUUACUCUAAACCCAAAGAAGACACAAUUGCAGAACUGUUUAUUGGUCUACUUGUUUUGGGUGACUCCAGAAACAUUUGGCAAGUGUGUCAAGCAAGCCAAAAGGUAAAGGCAAAUCUCUCUAUGACAAUGUCUAUGAAUGCCUGAACUUGGAAGAAAGUCAAUACUUUGGACUAAGUGUUUAUGACAAAAAUGAUAAUUUGGUGUCUGUUGCCUGCUGGUGCUGACUACAACCUCCUGGGUAUAGCCAGAAUACUAGAGAUGCAUGGUAUUAUACUCUAUCCUGCCAAGGCCCAGCCCAUACAUGUAUGUGUGUCUGUAUAUUUCAGAACAGGACAAAAAAAUUAAUACAUUUCCUAGGCAAAAAUAAGAAAGUGUAGUUUUAAGAGAAGAAGAUUUCUUUUGAAGCUCCAUCCUGAAAUAUUUGGCCAUAACUAGGAUGUUGUGGCAAGUAGGAAUGCAUGUAAAAGCUUUUGGAAAAUUGCAAUAACUACACAUGCUUUCUUCAGGUGAAGGAAUGCCGGCCGAAAGAAGGUAAGGAAAUGGAUCAUUAUGGAAAAAUACAUCAUAAAUGAUGCCUUGCAAGGUUAGAAUUGAAAAACCAUUAAAAAAACACAAGAAUCUAAGCAAAACGAGAGUGCUUAGGAAUGUUGAAGAUUUCCUUGGGUUAUACGGACAAACUUAAUCCUCUCCUCUUUAAAUAGCCGUCAUUGUGUCAAUCAAAAUCAUUUUUGUGUUUAUAUUUGCAGCAUUUACAGAAGCUUGGAGGAGGGAUCAGUAGAAAUGUUUUUGUAGUAAAUAUUGCCAUAACCAUAAUAAAGACAGACUGCUGAAUAGAAAUGGCCUUUAUUUGACUUUGCAAGUGAUUAACAUAAUCGGACGACCGCGAAGACGUUAGGAGUUAAAAGGCGUACAAUGUAUUGUUUUUCCAAUUUUGUUCCAUAUCCCACAGCUGUUUGCGUAAUGAAGUAUGGGGUAAAAAAGAAAUCUUGCCGAUACUGCGUUGCUAUGCAUUUUUUUUCUGUUUAAUCCACUUUACUGAAUUUGGAUCUUAGCUUUUGUAGAGUAAAGUUGUUGUCUACAUGUAGCUGUUUA
This is a non-coding RNA of Pocillopora verrucosa, 1109 nucleotides long. Lineage: Eukaryota; Metazoa; Cnidaria; Anthozoa; Scleractinia; Pocilloporidae. The record is from RefSeq and is a predicted model, not a curated record.